CCGUCCUGGAAAUAAAUGACAUGUAUUGCAUUGAAGAAAUGGAAUGGACCUGCUGGACUGUAUUUACACAAACCGAAGUGAAUCAUCCAGUGAAGGAAAAAUACCUAGAUAAAGCUUGUCUGAUUUGGCUGGUCAUGUGAUCUCAUCAUGAUUGGCCAAUGAUCCACCCCAGCUUCGUGAAAGAAUAGACUCUACCUCUUCCACGGUGUCCAUCUCAGUGCUGUAUGAAGUCAGGUACUCUCCAAAAGGCUGGAUCGGUGUG
Danio rerio (zebrafish) is the source of this 262-nucleotide non-coding RNA. The record is from RefSeq and is a predicted model, not a curated record. Lineage: Eukaryota; Metazoa; Chordata; Actinopteri; Cypriniformes; Danionidae.